RNAcentral lists this unclassified non-coding RNA (255 nucleotides) under Glomus sp. RNAcentral's name for it is "partial contains 5.8S ribosomal RNA and internal transcribed spacer 2". The stretch from base 1 to 65 matches the Rfam family "5.8S ribosomal RNA", at positions 84 to 154 of the family's 154-position model. The record is from RNAcentral. Lineage: Eukaryota; Fungi; Glomeromycota; Glomeromycetes; Glomerales; Glomeraceae.
GUGAAUCAUCGAAUCUUUGAACGCAACUUGCACUCUCUUCGGAGAGUAUGCCUGUUUGAGGGUCAGUAUAAAAAAAAUCGACAUAGUCGCUGUUUCGCGGUGACAUUCGUCGGAAAUUGGGUAAUCUUAAACCUUUUGGUUUUAAGCGGCUUACAAUUUUCUUUACGAUUCCACGAACGUUUCUAAGAUUUUACUUCUUAAACACGAUUAAGGUCUCGAUCUUUAUUAGACGUUGCCGUUGCAUCGGUACACGUC